GUGGUGAUGGCAACGAACAAGACGAUAAGGGUGUCAAGGCGAUAUAUGUUAAAAAAUUACUCAAUGGGACUGAACCACUAAUUGUACGCUUGAGUAAUGAGGGACGAAUCGAUCAUCCUAUAUGCUGGUGGUCUCUGAAGAGCACAAAGCCGGACGUGGGAUUUCAACAUAAUUUAACAUACUUCAGAAAGGAUGACCAGGGCCGGAGAAAGCGCGGAUCCUGGCAAGUACGAAAUACAACCUACUAUGUCAGUCGGAAGAAUGGACCGCCGACCAUCCGUGUUA
This 285-nucleotide long non-coding RNA is filed under the name Dermacentor andersoni. RNAcentral's name for it is "uncharacterized LOC126538927". The record is from RNAcentral. Lineage: Eukaryota; Metazoa; Arthropoda; Arachnida; Ixodida; Ixodidae.